AAGUCGUAACAAGGUUUCCGUAGGUGAACCUGCGGAAGGAUCAUUAACACGUAUCCAACGUUAAACCCCCCCCGUGAACGUACAAUCUGUUGCUUCUCCGGUAACGCGAAACAAUGGUUGCAAUCCCUGGUAAAUCAUCGCCGAACAGUUUUGGGGCGUCGUUCCUAUAGGAACGAGUCCACGUCCCUCUUGACCCCUUGAAACGACAGGGUGUCUGCAAAACGGAGGCUCAAUCACUCCACACUUGAAAGGGUCGUGGAGAUAACGAACAACUGUUAACAAUGGAUAUCUUGGUUCUC
RNAcentral lists this unclassified non-coding RNA (299 nucleotides) under fungal sp. RNAcentral describes it as "partial internal transcribed spacer region". The stretch from base 1 to 46 matches the Rfam family "Eukaryotic small subunit ribosomal RNA", at positions 1786 to 1831 of the family's 1831-position model. Lineage: Eukaryota; Fungi. The record is from RNAcentral.